UGCAGUCGACGAGAGAAGAGGAGCUUGCUUUUCUGAUCUAGUGGCGGACGGGUGAGUAACACGUGAGCAAUCUGCCUUUCAGAGGGGGAUACCGAUUGGAAACGAUCGUUAAUACCGCAUAACAUAAUUGAACCGCAUGAUUUGAUUAUCAAAGAUUUAUCGCUGAAAGAUGAGCUCGCGUCUGAUUAGCUAGUUGGUAAGGUAACGGCUUACCAAGGCGACGAUCAGUAGCCGGACUGAGAGGUUGAUCGGCCACAUUGGGACUGAGACACGGCCCAGACUCCUACGGGAGGCAGCAGUGGGGAAUAUUGCACAAUGGAGGAAACUCUGAUGCAGCGAUGCCGCGUGAGGGAAGAAGGUUUUAGGAUUGUAAACCUCUGUCUUCAGGGACGAAAAAUGACGGUACCUGAGGAGGAAGCUCCGGCUAACUACGUGCCAGCAGCCGCGGUAAUACGUAGGGAGCGAGCGUUGUCCGGAAUUACUGGGUGUAAAGGGAGCGUAGGCGGGAUCGCAAGUCAGAUGUGAAAACUAUGGGCUUAACCCAUAAACUGCAUUUGAAACUGUGGUUCUUGAGUGAAGUAGAGGUAAGCGGAAUUCCUAGUGUAGCGGUGAAAUGCGUAGAUAUUAGGAGGAACAUCAGUGGCGAAGGCGGCUUACUGGGCUUUAACUGACGCUGAGGCUCGAAAGCGUGGGGGAGCAAACAGGAUUAGAUACCCUGGUAGUCCACGCCGUAAACGAUGAUUACUAGGUGUGGGGGGACUGACCCCUUCCGUGCCRCAGCAAACGCAAUAAGUAAUCCACCUGGGGAGUACGACCGCAAGGUUGAAACUCAAAGGAAUUGACGGGGGCCCGCACAAGCAGUGGAGUAUGUGGAUUAAUUCGAAGCAACGCGAAGAACCUUACCAGGUCUUGACAUCGUAUGCAUAGCUCAGAGAUGAGUGAAAUCUCUUCGGAGACAUAUAGACAGGUGGUGCAUGGUUGUCGUCAGCUCGUGUCGUGAGAUGUUGGGUUAAGUCCCGCAACGAGCGCAACCCUUACUGUUAGUUGCUACGCAAGAGCACUCUAGCAGGACUGCCGUUGACAAAACGGAGGAAGGUGGGGAUGACGUCAAAUCAUCAUGCCCCUUAUGACCUGGGCCUCACACGUACUACAAUGGCUGUAAACAGAGGGAUGCAAAGCCGCGAGGUGGAGCGAACCCCUAAAAGCAGUCUUAGUUCGGAUUGUAGGCUGCAACCCGCCUACAUGAAGUCGGAAUUGCUAGUAAUCGCAGAUCAGCAUGCUGCGGUGAAUACGUUCCCGGGCCUUGUACACACCGCCCGUCACGCCAUGGGAGUCGGUAACACCCGAAGCCUGUAGUCUAACCGCAAGGAGGACGCAG
RNAcentral lists this ribosomal RNA (1378 nucleotides) under Ruminococcus sp. 27-36. Its description in RNAcentral is "bacterial SSU rRNA". It matches the Rfam family "Bacterial small subunit ribosomal RNA". Lineage: Bacteria; Bacillati; Bacillota; Clostridia; Eubacteriales; Oscillospiraceae. The record is from RNAcentral.